GUAAGAGCACUUUUUUCUUCGAAUAAAAACCAAAUUAGGGCUCUGUCACUCCCCCAAAAGUCCACAAUAGGCCCGAUCCGACAGAGAAAGAUGAAAGGAGGACGAGCUAGCCUAGUCAAGCCACAAACAGCAGCGCAACCAAGCAUAGGUCUAACACCUCGUCUCCCUCAAUCGACUUGCACCAAACCUUCAAAGGGUCAGCCUCCCGUCAGCAGUCUGGUGGAGGGUCGCGAUCCUCGCCAUCGCCAUGGUCAACAAAAGAAAACUCCUAAAACCCCGACCUGGAACAACAAAGAUCAGACCGCCGCCCUCGAACUCAGAAACCCCUUCCUCAAGAGUUACAACCACCGCCGCUUCCUUUGCGGACCUCCGAUGUCGCAAAACUCGGCACGAAAGAGACCACUGCACACCCAGACCCGCACCCUCAACUGCCUCAGCCGAGAACUGCUACGAUUGGAGCCUUUACGGCCUCAACUUUUUCUGUCAAGCAAUCCAACUAAACAAUGACGUUGAUGAACAAGAGGCCUAAACCGCUUGAUGCAACUGUAGCGCUCUUCACUGUAGAUUAAUGACUCUUGAUAAUACCAGCGGUUGCCCCCUCAUAGGCAUGGAACCCUUCCACGCACAGACGAUUGGAGAGCGGAGACACUUCAAUUUUCUUCACGCACAGACGCUUCAAUUUUCUCCACGCACAAACGCUCCAAUUCUUCUCUUUGUCUUCUCGCUUCAAUCGACUGAUGGAGAUAUCUCUUGAGGGUAAGCAUGUUGAAAUGGAAAAUCAAAGAAAUAAGGGAACUAUUGGUUUGGUGGGUAUCUAGAUGAUUACCACGUUUUUCAUCUUUUACUACCUAAUGUGGGCUAUGCAUAUAGCUAGCCAUGUUGCAAACUUUGAUUUUUCAUUGUAUAUAUACUGCAUUCUCAUAUGCAGAUCGCAUUGGUCAAGUUUCAAUGUUUGUCUGAUAGUUGUGUUGUAAGAAUCCCUGUAUGAGGGAUCAAGUAGUACAUUGUAGAUCAAUUAAACUACCAUCAAUAGAUAGCCCUAGUUUUCUUAUGAACAAUAUCAAUUUCUGACUACAAACUGUGCAAAUGAGUCCGUUGAUGCUCAGAAAGUGUUUGUUAUAGUUGGUUCCAUGUAUCUAAGCCCUGCACUAGAGAAGAUGAGUGAUGCUCUCCGCAAUAGUAGACAUUUAAGUUAUAUACUGUUCCAAUUACCUUUGACAGGGUGAGUGUUAAUGGUAAUGAUGCACCACAUGGAAUCAAAUUGCUCACUGUCCCAGUGUUAGUAGAUAGAGAAACAAAAUUCAGACCUGCUGGAAGGUAAAGAAUGUAAAGAAAAAAAAGGACAUCAAUUGAGCUUGAGGCACGGUAUUCCCAUAAUAUUUACAAGAAAAAUAUUCUGGAAUUUCUAAACUUUGACAUUCUAUGGAAUGUGGGUUACACAGAAAGGGAAUGUCAUUUAAACUAUUUGAAUCUAGAAUGAAUUCAUUGUUUAUGCUCACUGUGUCCUUGUGAUCAUCAACAGGGAGGGCUCUGAUUCUGACUGUUUAUCAAAUGAGACCAAACUAGUUGGGUAUCCACAGGUGUGUGACAAAGAAGUAACAGAAAGGCAACCUGUAGUAGGAAGUGUGCAGAGAAAAAAUAUUAAAGAUCUCAGGUGGUAGAGAGAGCUCUGUUUCUGUGGAACAACGAUCACAUUGAGAACUUGAUCAAACAAAAUCAUAAUACUGCCCAUUAUGUUAGAGAAGGCAAUGUCCAAAGAUUUAGUUUAAGGUGAUAUGUUGGAUUGAUGUAAAAUAGCCUUGUUGAGGCAUGAUUGACAUGUUUAUAUUGACCUGGGCUUUGAUGCCUUGCUGGAACUAUUUAGUUGCUGAUAUUCAUUAUUGUAGCAUCAUAUGAAGCUAGCAAAGUAUAAACAGAUUUACAUGUAUACAUUGCCAUCUUCUGUA
Rosa chinensis is the source of this 1946-nucleotide long non-coding RNA. RefSeq lists it as uncharacterized. The transcript has 2 exons. NCBI's taxonomy places the organism in Eukaryota, Viridiplantae, Streptophyta, Magnoliopsida, Rosales, Rosaceae. The record is from RefSeq and is a predicted model, not a curated record.